This 232-nucleotide ribosomal RNA is filed under the name uncultured bacterium. RNAcentral describes it as "partial 16S ribosomal RNA". It matches the Rfam family "Bacterial small subunit ribosomal RNA", at positions 104 to 334 of the family's 1533-position model. The record is from RNAcentral.
CGGGGUGAGUAACGCGUGGGUAACCUGCCUUGUACAGGGGGAUAACAGUUGGAAACGGCUGCUAAUACCGCAUAAGCGCACGGCAUCGCAUGAUGCAGUGUGAAAAACUCCGGUGGUAUAAGAUGGACCCGCGUUGGAUUAGCUAGUUGGUGAGGUAACGGCCCACCAAGGCGACGAUCCAUAGCCGGCCUGAGAGGGUGAACGGCCACAUUGGGACUGAGACACGGCCCAG